Long non-coding RNA from Oreochromis niloticus (Nile tilapia), 1426 nucleotides. RefSeq lists it as uncharacterized. The transcript has 9 exons. Lineage: Eukaryota; Metazoa; Chordata; Actinopteri; Cichliformes; Cichlidae. The record is from RefSeq and is a predicted model, not a curated record.
UAGCUCUUCCAGCGAAACAACUCCCAGCCUCUACGUGGUUGGCAAUGGAUGGUGAAGCAGAAAUAGUGAGUGGAUGCACCCAUAGAGAAAACAAAAGGUCACACAAAGACUUUUUGAUGGAUGUUGAGGACCUGGAGGAAGCAGGAUCAGAUGCAGAGGAGCAUAGCACCAAGAUGCUUCCCCAGGAACAAAGUGGCUCCCUGAACAAGAACAUACCACCUAUUGGUAAUAGUGGUAUAGACCACGAACCUCAUGGAGCAGACGUCUCAGGUUUCCUCCAUGAAUAUCCAGUCUGUGUGUCACAGGACAGAUGGACAGUGAGAGGAGAAGAGCAUAUCCAAGAAAACUCGUUGCAUCCAUGUUUUAAUGCAGAGGGAAACAUUAGCCUGAGGAGUCCAGGUCCCAUGUUGGAGUACUUGGUGUAUCUUAAUAGCCAGCAUUAUGGGCCAGAUUGUCCCAGUAACGGACCUACCACCCCCUCUAUCUCUCCAGUAGCCAACUGGCCUCGUCACUCUACACCCAUUCCUAGUUCACUGACAGCCAUUUCUACUACUGUCAGCUCCACAGUUAGCUCUGCUAUGACUAGCUUCAUGACUGACGCAUGUAGUCCCAUUGGUUUUAUAUGUGGUGUCACCAGUUCAGCCACAGACCCUCUAAUGUCCACCCCCAGGAGUCUCUGCUGCUCUGACCAGGAUCCUGCCAGUGCUGCAGCUUACCUUCACCUCCUGGGAGAAUCGUUAUCCCUGAUUGGACACCAUCUCCAGGAAACAGAUCUGCAGCCUUCUUGGUGCCUAGUAACUCAAGUAGCUUGCUGUACUAAAAUGGUGUGUAUGUCGAGUAGUUUCUCUCUACUCUUGGACUCUCUAUUGUGUGCUAUGGCUCCACUUACCGGCCUCACUAUGCACAUACCAGAGCUGAGGAGCUGCACACAACACACACUGGCCUCCACCUUGGAUAACAUUGCAUAUGUGAUGCCUGGCCUGUGAGUAAAAGGAGACCCCUACUGGCUCUACACAGCAAUGAUAACAUGAAAAACAUUUUUCUGUUAGUUGAUACUUGAAAAGUAAGAGUUUUUGUGUUAUGAGAAUUUGCCUGCACUUUGAACUUUGAAGUGAACUUUUUUCAGAAGGACAAUUUUUUUGUUAAUUACAUAUGUUAAUUAAGUAUGUUUAAAAUGCAAUUUAAAUGCCUUGGAUUAACUAUUUGAUUAGAUAGGAUUUUUGAACACUCUGCUUUUUAAAUUAUUUGAAUAGUUAUAGAGAUGGAAAACAUUAGAAGUAGUGGGUAAUUCAAAGUAGAGAUCAGGCAUCACAUAUUUACAUGCCUGGUAACUCAAUAAUAAAUCACAUGUACAUGAAUAGCAUCUUAUGUUUUGUUUAUACAGUAUGGGUAUGUUUAGUCAACUUAAAUAUUCUUACAAAAUGCA